RNAcentral lists this transfer RNA (84 nucleotides) under Gemmatimonadetes bacterium T265. Its description in RNAcentral is "tRNA-Ser". It matches the Rfam family "tRNA". Rfam says of the family: Transfer RNA (tRNA) molecules are approximately 80 nucleotides in length. Their secondary structure includes four short double-helical elements and three loops (D, anti-codon, and T loops). Further hydrogen bonds mediate the characteristic L-shaped molecular structure. tRNAs have two regions of fundamental functional importance: the anti-codon, which is responsible for specific mRNA codon recognition, and the 3' end, to which the tRNAs corresponding amino acid is attached (by aminoacyl-tRNA synthetases). tRNAs cope with the degeneracy of the genetic code in two manners: having more than one tRNA (with a specific anti-codon) for a particular amino acid; and 'wobble' base-pairing, i.e. permitting non-standard base-pairing at the 3rd anti-codon position. Lineage: Bacteria; Pseudomonadati; Gemmatimonadota. The record is from RNAcentral.
GGAGGGCUGGCAGAAUGGCUAUUGCAACGGUCUUGAAAACCGUCGUCCGCAAGGACUUGUGGGUUCGAAUCCCACGCCCUCCUC